AAUAAUAUAUAUUGUUCAUUUUUUAUAAUUUUCAUGCACUAAUAUUUUAUUGAAUAUUUGUGUGCAUGUCGCAACGCACGGGUACGCCUGCGCGCGUCAGCGUGUGUGUGUUUGAGCUUGUAAGUUUUCAUCAUCAGAUCGUGUACUUUUAAUUCGUUUGCGUAUAUUUCCCUUAUAUACAUAUUCCCUUGGAUGAUACUAUAUUAGUUCAGGUGGUUACUUUUAUGAGCUAUUCUAUCCUAACAUUUGGCAAUGGAGGACAUGGACUUGUGAAUUGUAGAUGAUUGUUAAAUUUGGUAUACCAAUGUGGCUUAUACCAGAUCAAUAUGCCACAUAUUUGUGUAUUUUUUUAAAAAAAUGUGAUAUUUUUAACGCUCUUUUAGGUUUCUCAACAAGAAGCCAUUAGAGUGAAGGAAAAGCUCAAGAAAGAAAUGGAGUGCCUUGAAGUUGUGUUCAAGCAAGUUUGAGGUGAUCGUGAUCAUUCAGUUAUUCAACUGAACAAUUUGAACAUUGAAUUUGGUAAUUAAGGAACAUAUUGAUAAAACUUCAAAAGAAUAUGAAAGAUUCUGCACCAAAGUUUCUUAACAGUUUAUACUCACAUUUUUUUUAAAAAAAUACACAAAUAUGUGGCACAUUGUGCAAUAUUUAUGUGGCACAUUGAUGUGGUAUAAGCCACAUUGGUAUUCUUGCAUCUAAAGAAAAUUCUCAAUUCAACCAGAUCGACCUGCACGAGCUGCAUUGGUUUGUAGCUUCAGGUUUAUACUCAUGUCUCCUGUUGUAACUAUUGGACAUAAAUUGUUCUCUAUUUUUAGGAAACGUGCAGUACGCAGCAAGAACAAAUUCAAACAUUUCAGAAGCAGCUUGCAGUUGCGACUGAGAAGUUGAAGGUUAAAAGUUGAAGCAUAUGCUACUAGCAUUCUUUAUGUCUUUACAAACAUGUGCACUGUUCCAUUAUUUGUCAUCUCAAAAUUGAUACAGUUAUUCAAUUAUGUUCUGGGCUCCCACUUGCCAUCUCAUGCUUUUGCAAACACAAGGUAUUGCCGUAUUGAUUCUCUCAACUCUUUUGACUGUGGAAGGCCUUCAAAGACUUCAUGCCUUCUUUGUAACCUGCCAAUUAUUCUAAUCGUUUAGGUUGCAGCAAAGCCCUUGUGACCUCAACAGUAUUUACAGUCAUUUGAAGAGUUCAUGUCCAAGGCGACUGGAAAUGCUGUCAACUGGGUGCAAAUAGUUGGGAUGAAAGUAAUAACUUGUUUUUAAGGAACCAAGGCCACAAAAAUAAACAUUAAGAGGGAGAUCACCACGAUUAGGGCCAGUUGCCCAGAAGCACGCGCCCAGCAUUGAAUCUGGGGUUCCUGAUUGCAGGAGUCCUAAUGGUGCAUACAGUACAGGUUUUAAACCACUUUCUCAUCAGGUUGCAGUUGUUGUAGCUCAUGAAUUAGCUCAUCAAUGGUUUGGAAAUUUUGUCACAAUGGAAUGGUGGACAUAUGUGGCUUAAUGAGGGCUUUGCGACUUGGGUGUCUUACUUAGCUGCAGAUCAGUUCUUUCCUGAAUGGAAUGUUUGGACUCAGUUUCUAGAGGAAUCUACAAUAGGUUUCAAGUUGGAUGCUCUUGCAGGUUCACAUCCAAUUGAGACAGCAAGCUUGCCAAACAUUUAGGAGGAGAGUUCUAGCUCUGGUCAAAAGCAUGGAUUCAGUUGUCAAAAGAGUCCCUUGACAGUACUUAUAACUAAAACUGUGUAUAAAAGGAAUUAGAGAGGAAAAUGUGAAGGAGAAACUCUCCCAUUUUUUGCCAUGUUCCGGCAGCAAAUAUUAUCACUUUGUAUGAUGUUUCCAAUAUCUGGCGCAUUCCUUUGUUGCUACAUGUAUGGUGAAUGGGGUGACCAUGUCACGCUACAAGCAGCUGCUGACAAGAGACUCAGGAUCAGUUCUCCAAGUACUCCUGCACUUGGAACCAUCAACAAAGAGUCAAAGAGUAAAUAUGUUAUUCUACGAUGGUGUUUCAUACAUUAUUUAUCUUUAUGUUAUAUUUUGUUGUAGAUUUUUAAUUGUUAUUUUCUAUUUAAGUAUUGCAUUGUAUGGUUGUUUCCUUGAAACCACAUUCGCGCUCAUCUCUAUAGCAAUGAAC
This is an RNA transcript of Zea mays, 2124 nucleotides long. RefSeq lists it as uncharacterized. Lineage: Eukaryota; Viridiplantae; Streptophyta; Magnoliopsida; Poales; Poaceae. The record is from RefSeq and is a predicted model, not a curated record. The transcript has 9 exons.